RNAcentral lists this ribosomal RNA (497 nucleotides) under uncultured bacterium. RNAcentral's name for it is "partial 16S ribosomal RNA". It matches the Rfam family "Bacterial small subunit ribosomal RNA", at positions 28 to 507 of the family's 1533-position model. The record is from RNAcentral.
GAUGAACGCUGGCGGCGUGCCUAAUACAUGCAAGUCGAGCGAACAGACGAGGAGCUUGCUCCUCUGACGUUAGCGGCGGACGGGUGAGUAACACGUGGAUAACCUACCUAUAAGACUGGGAUAACUUCGGGAAACCGGAGCUAAUACCGGAGAAUAUAUUGAACCGCAUGGUUCAAUAGUGAAAGACGGUUUUGCUGUCACUUAUAGAUGGAUCCGCGCCGCAUUAGCUAGUUGGUAAGGUAACGGCUUACCAAGGCAACGAUGCGUAGCCGACCUGAGAGGGUGAUCGGCCCCACUGGAACUGAGCCACGGUCCAGACUCCUACGGGAGGCAGCAGUAGGGAAUCUUCCGCAAUGGGCGAAAGCUUGACGGAGCAACGCCGCGUGAGUGAUGAAGGUCUUCGGAUCGUAAAACUCUGUUAUUAGGGAAGAACAAAUGUGUAAGUAACUAUGCACGUCUUGACGGUACCUAAUCAGAAAGCCACGGCUAACUACGUG